CCGUUUGAGCGCUGCCAGAAAUGCCUGUUUUCAAGCAUGAGCAGACAUGAGAAACAGACCCUGGGGGGCACAGGAAUUGUUGACUGAAAAGUGUGCAGCGAACGUGGCUUGGGAAAAAGAAACCAAGGGCAACAUCGCUGCAAAGCGCAGCAUGUAACAGCGCUGCAAAGUGGUGCUGUAUGGAUUUUUUUUCCCUGCCCACCCCGCUCGGAGGAUGCUGUGCACGAACAUAAGCAGGGGUCAGGCCUCCCGAGGAGUGCUGCAGGAGGAGGGGGCUAGGCCAGGACGGAGGUGCAGGGAGGCAGGCAACACCCCAAACACCCUUUUGUGUCCCCAGCUCGCAGCAGCUCCACAGCCCUCUUCCAGUGUGUCUCCAGCCCCAUGUUCUCUCCCGUGCCUGCCCUUGCCCUGUGACAAGGGACUCGUGUCCCUUCUCACAGCGACAGCCGUGGUGAAGACGUGGGCCGUGCCGGGCGUAAUGAGCACCUCCUGCUUCACCGCCAGCCCCAGGGCUGGCCAGAAGCUGUUAGCGUGGGUCAGCAGCGAGCACAAAAUUAUUUUCCCGUCUCUUUCCCUCUCUCUUCAGCUUUCUGAGCUAUUCCCCGAGCCGGUCCCUUCGCAGCCAAGCCAAGGCUCGUUCCUCCCUCACCGCAGGCGAGCGGCGCGUGGGGCUGCGAGGCCCGACCCGGCCCCGCCGCAGCCAGGAGAUGGAGCCGUCUCCCCGCCGUCGGCAGCCGUGGCCUCGCAGCACCGGGAGAGGCUCCGGCUGCCUGGGCACGGUCCCGCCGCCGCACCGGGAUGCUCGUUCCCCUGGGACACUCGCGGUUCACCUCGUGCUGUCGGCAGCAGCGUGGCCGCAGAGGGACGGAGCAUCCACACAUUUGGCCCCCCAAACGCUGUCAGCAGGCCUGGAGUCAGCCGCAAACCUUGGCUUUAGCACAAGGAGCAAGAGCUCUUUUAACGAACCUCGGCGUCUCCGGGUGCUGGGGACCCCCUCCUGUCUGCUCGCACUGCCCAGCCCCACGCAGGUGCCUGCCAGCCUCGCACAGGAGGAGCAGGGCGAUGUCCUCCUGCCUCGUGCUUUGGAGA
RNAcentral lists this long non-coding RNA (1089 nucleotides) under Anser cygnoides (Swan goose). RNAcentral describes it as "lncRNA (ENSACDG00005004509.1)". The record is from RNAcentral. Lineage: Eukaryota; Metazoa; Chordata; Aves; Anseriformes; Anatidae.